Molecule: long non-coding RNA, 221 nt
Organism: Dromaius novaehollandiae (emu)
Lineage: Eukaryota; Metazoa; Chordata; Aves; Casuariiformes; Dromaiidae
Source: Ensembl
AGGCUGCUGAGAGAGGCUCCCACUGCAGAGGGCAAUGGCCAUUCUCCAGACUUUUCCCAGCAUGUUCCAGAGCCCAUCUCUCUCAGCUCAGAAGCCUUGGAAGGACUACGCAGCGCAGCCUUCUCCUUUCUCCCAGGCUUGGGAAACAUACAGCUCUGAACGUGGGAGAAAACAGGGUAUGUAUGCAGUAUCUCUCUUCUGCCUGGAUGCAGAGCGAGCUU